UACGGAAGAUCCAAGCGUUAUCCGGAUUUAUUGGGUUUAAAGGGUGCGUAGGCGGAUUGAUAAGUUAGAGGUGAAAUGUCCGAGCUCAACUCGGGAACUGCCUCUAAUACUGUUGAUCUAGAGAGUAGAUGCGGUAGGCGGAAUGUAUGGUGUAGCGGUGAAAUGCUUAGAGAUCAUACAGAACACCGAUUGCGAAGGCAGCUUACCAAUCUAUAUCUGACGUUGAGGCACGAAAGCGUGGGGAGCAAACAGG
This 253-nucleotide ribosomal RNA is filed under the name uncultured bacterium. Its description in RNAcentral is "partial 16S ribosomal RNA". It matches the Rfam family "Bacterial small subunit ribosomal RNA", at positions 524 to 776 of the family's 1533-position model. The record is from RNAcentral.